CAAUGCCUACGGGGCGCAGCAGUGGGGGAUAUUGCACAAUGGGGGGAACCCUGAUGCAGCGACGCCGCGUGGGUGAAGAAGCGCCUCGGCGCGUAAAGCCCUGUCAGCAGGGAAGAAAAUGACGGUACCUGAAGAAGAAGCCCCGGCUAACUACGUGCCAGCAGCCGCGGUAAUACGUAGGGGGCAAGCGUUAUCCGGAUUUACUGGGUGUAAAGGGGGCGCAGACGGCGAUGCAAGCCAGGAGGGAAAGCCCGGGGCCCAACCCCGGGACUGAUCUUGGAACUGCGCGGCUGGAGUGCAGGCGG
RNAcentral lists this ribosomal RNA (305 nucleotides) under uncultured bacterium. RNAcentral describes it as "bacterial SSU rRNA". It matches the Rfam family "Bacterial small subunit ribosomal RNA", at positions 333 to 655 of the family's 1533-position model. The record is from RNAcentral.